Molecule: ribosomal RNA, 1935 nt
Filed under: human gut metagenome
Description: bacterial LSU rRNA
Rfam family: Bacterial large subunit ribosomal RNA
Source: RNAcentral
UAGUGGAGCAGUACCGUGAGGGAAAGGUGAAAAGAACCCCGGGAGGGGAGUGAAAUAGUACCUGAAACCUUGUGCUUACAAGCAGUUACAGCCCGUUAAAGGGUGGUAGCGUACUUUUUGUAGAACGGUCCGGCGAGUUAUAGUCACUAGCGAGCUUAAGACAUUCAGUGUCGGAGGCGUAGGGAAACCGAGUCUGAAGAGGGCGUAUGAAGUUAGUGGCCAUAGACCCGAAACCAUGUGACCUAGCCAUGAGCAGGAUGAAGUGGAGGUAAAGCUCCAUGGAGGUCCGAACGCACGUUCGUUGCAAUGACCGGCGAUGACUUGUGGCUAGCGGUGAAAUUCCAAUCGAACUUGGAGAUAGCUGGUUCUCCCCGAAAUAGCUUUAGGGCUAGCGUUGGGAAUGAGUUUAGCGGAGGUAAAGCACUGAAUGAGCUAGGGGGCGCAAGCUUACUGAACUCUAUCAAACUAAGAAUGCCGCAUAAAUGCUUCCCAGCAGUCAGACUGCGAGUAAUAAAAUCCGUGGUCAAAAGGGUAACAGCCCAGACCCACAGCUAAGGUCCCCAAUACAUGCUAAGUGGAAAACGAUGUGAGAUUGCAUAAACAACCAGGAUGUUGGCUUAGAGGCAGCCACUCGUUCAAAGAGUGCGUAAUAGCUCACUGGUCGAGUGAUCUUGCGCGGAAAAUUUAACGGGGCUAAGCAUGUAACCGAAGCUUAGGGUUUACAGCAAUGUAAGCGGUAGGGGAGCGUCGAAUACGGGGUGAAGUCAUACCGAAAGGAAUGGUGGACUGUAUUCGAGUGAGAAUGCCGGAAUGAGUAGCGAGAAUUAUGUGGGAAUCAUAAUGGCCGAAAAUCUAAGGUUUCUUGGGGAAGGUUCGUCCGCCCAAGGUAAGCCGGGAGCUAAGGCGAGGCCGAGAGGCGUAGUCGAUGCACAUACGGUAAAGAUUCCGUAGCCACCGAAGUCGUUAAAUACAGGGACACAGGAACAUAGCCUAACCCCACCGUUGGUUGAGUGGGGCGUAAGGGAGCGAAAAAUAGUAGCGAAGUAGGUGAUUGUACACUGGCGAGAAAAGCUGUAUGUAUUGAUAAGGUGCCCGUACCGCAAACCGACACAGGUAGAUGAGGAGAGAAUCCUAAGACCAGCGGGAGAAGUGUUGUUAAGGAACUCGGCAAAAUGACCCCGUAACUUCGGGAUAAGGGGAGCCUACGCGAGUAGGCCGCAGAGAAUAGUCUCAAGCGACUGUUUAGCAAAAACACAGGUCUAUGCUAAAUCGAAAGAUGAUGUAUAUGGGCUGACGCCUGCCCGGUGCUGGAAGGUUAAGGGGAAGUGUUAGAGCAAUCGAAGCACUGAACUUAAGCCCCAGUAAACGGCGGCCGUAACUAUAACGGUCCUAAGGUAGCGAAAUUCCUUGUCAGGUAAGUUCUGACCCGCACGAAUGGCGUAACGACUUGAGAGCUGUCUCAACAACAUACCCGGCGAAAUUGAAGUACUGGUAAAGAUGCCAGUUACCCGUGAUAAGACGGAAAGACCCCAUGGAGCUUUACUGUAACUUGAUAUUGAAUUUUUGUAUUACAUGUACAGGAUAGGUGGGAGACAGAGAACUAAUGCCGCCAGGUGUUAGGGAGUCGAUGUUGGGAUACCACUCUUGUAAUAUGAAGGUUCUAACCUGCACCCGUGAAUCCGGGUGGGGGACACUGUCAGGUGGACAGUUUGACUGGGGCGGUCGCCUCCUAAAAGGUAACGGAGGCGUUCAAAGGUUGGUUCAGCACGGACGGAAAUCGUGCAACGAGUGCAAACGCAUAAACCAGCCUAACUGCGAGACCGACAAGUCGAGCAGUAACGAAAGUUGGAGUUAGUGAUCCGGCGGUAUGAGAGUGGAAUUGCCGUCGCUCAACGGAUAAAAGCUACCCUGGGGAUAACAGGCUGAUCUCCCCCA